This 68-nucleotide transfer RNA is filed under the name Viviparus viviparus. RNAcentral's name for it is "tRNA-Asp". The record is from RNAcentral. Lineage: Eukaryota; Metazoa; Mollusca; Gastropoda; Architaenioglossa; Viviparidae.
AUAAAGUUAGUUAAAUAAUAAUUUUAGGUUGUCAGCCUUAAGUUACUAAUGAGAUUUAGUACUUUUUA